CCUACGGGAGGCAGCAGUGGGGAAUCUUGCGCAAUGGGCGAAAGCCUGACGCAGCAACGCCGCGUGCGGGAAGAAGGCCCUAGGGUUGUAAACCGCUUUCAGUAGGAACGAAAAUGACGGUACCUGCAGAAGAAGGUGCGGCCAACUACGUGCCAGCAGCCGCGGUGACACGUAGGCACCAAGCGUUGUCCGGAUUUAUUGGGCGUAAAGAGCUCGUAGGCGGUUGAGUAAGUCGGGUGUGAAAACUCUGGGCUUAACCCAGAGCCGCCACUCGAUACUGCUGUGACUUGAGUUCGGUAGGGGAGCAGGGAAUUCCUAGUGUAGCGGUGAAAUGCGCAGAUAUUAGGAGGAACACCGGUGGCGAAGGCGCUGCUCUGGGCCGAUACUGACGCUGAGGAGCGAAAGCGUGGGUAGCAAACAGGAUUAGAUACCCUGGUAGUCCACGCCGUAAACGUUGGGCACUAGGUGUGGGUUCCAACCAACGGAAUCCGCGCCGUCGCUAACGCAUUAAGUGCCCCGCCUGGGGAGUACGGCGGCAACGCUAAAACUCAAAGGAAUUGACGG
Molecule: ribosomal RNA, 564 nt
Filed under: uncultured bacterium
Lineage: Bacteria
Description: bacterial SSU rRNA
Rfam family: Bacterial small subunit ribosomal RNA
Source: RNAcentral